This is a non-coding RNA of Sporothrix schenckii 1099-18, 102 nucleotides long. The record is from the annotation of a RefSeq genome assembly. Lineage: Eukaryota; Fungi; Ascomycota; Sordariomycetes; Ophiostomatales; Ophiostomataceae.
GGCUCAGUGGUCUAGUGGUAUGAUUCGCGCUUCGGGUGCAAUCCCCUUCUGCAGUUUGCAGGAACAUGUGCGAGGUCUCGGGUUCGAUCCCCGACUGAGCCC